UACGGGGGGGGCAAGCGUUGUCCGGAUUUAUUGGGCGUAAAGCGCGCGUAGGCGGCGCGGUAUGUCGUGCGUGAAAUCUCCCGGCUUAACUGGGAGGGGCCGUGCGAAACUGCCGGGCUUGAGGUCGGAAGGGGAAAGUGGAAUUCCGGGUGUAGUGGUGGAAUACGUAGAUAUCCGGAGGAACACCAGCGGCGAAGGCGGCUUUCUGGUCCGAUACUGACGCUGAGGUGCGAAAGCGUGGGGAGCGAUCCGG
Molecule: ribosomal RNA, 253 nt
Filed under: uncultured bacterium
Lineage: Bacteria
Description: partial 16S ribosomal RNA
Rfam family: Bacterial small subunit ribosomal RNA
Source: RNAcentral